This 496-nucleotide ribosomal RNA is filed under the name uncultured bacterium. RNAcentral describes it as "partial 16S ribosomal RNA". It matches the Rfam family "Bacterial small subunit ribosomal RNA", at positions 29 to 507 of the family's 1533-position model. The record is from RNAcentral.
AUGAACGCUGGCGGCGUGCCUAAUCCAUGCACGUCGAGCGAACAGACGAGGAGCUUGCUCCUCUGACGUUAGCGGCGGACGGGUGAGUAACACGUGGAUAACCUACCUAUAAGACUGGGAUAACUUCGGGAAACCGGAGCUAAUACCGGAUAAUAUAUUGAACCGCAUGGUUCAAUAGUGAAAGACGGUUUUGCUGUCACUUAUAGAUGGAUCCGCGCCGCAUUAGCUAGUUGGUAAGGUAACGGCUUACCAAGGCAACGAUGCGUAGCCGACCUGAGAGGGUGAUCGGCCACACUGGAACUGAGACACGGUCCAGACUCCUACGGGAGGCAGCAGUAGGGAAUCUUCCGCAAUGGGCGAAAGCUUGACGGAGCAACGCCGCGUGAGUGAUGAAGGUCUUCGGAUCGUAAAACUCUGUUAUUAGGGAAGAACAAAUGUGUAAGUAACUAUGCACGUCUUGACGGUACCUAAUCAGAAAGCCACGGCUAACUACGUG